AUUUCUAUAGCUUAUAGUACAGAGUAUUUCAGUGAAGUUGAAAGGGAAAUUUAAAUUUAGAAAUA
RNAcentral lists this transfer RNA (65 nucleotides) under Nephotettix malayanus. RNAcentral describes it as "tRNA-Phe". Lineage: Eukaryota; Metazoa; Arthropoda; Insecta; Hemiptera; Cicadellidae. The record is from RNAcentral.